Acanthopagrus latus (yellowfin seabream) is the source of this 321-nucleotide long non-coding RNA. RefSeq lists it as uncharacterized. NCBI's taxonomy places the organism in Eukaryota, Metazoa, Chordata, Actinopteri, Spariformes, Sparidae. The transcript is spliced from 4 exons. The record is from RefSeq and is a predicted model, not a curated record.
CUGAUUGGAUCCCCUCCAGUCAGGUUGUCCUGUAGUUUGAUCCGGCGACCCCCUGCUGUUCACCGGUUGCGAAGGUGGCCAGGAUGAAGACCCCUUCACGGGCUGGACCAUCCCAGACCAUUAAAGCUGCCUGUCACUCUCCUCGCCCAGUUAAGACCGUCGGGACACCAGUUCCCUCAUCGUCCUGCUGGCCCUGGAUUAUCGAUGACGGACUUGCCACCUCUCAUUCCCCUUCUAAAGAGGUGCCGCUUAGUGCUAGUAUUAGGGCUAGUCAUAGUCAGAGUGACAUGAGGUACAGGAAGUUCUCCAGGAACCACCAGU